RNAcentral lists this ribosomal RNA (425 nucleotides) under uncultured bacterium. Its description in RNAcentral is "bacterial SSU rRNA". It matches the Rfam family "Bacterial small subunit ribosomal RNA", at positions 355 to 796 of the family's 1533-position model. The record is from RNAcentral.
UAGGGAAUUUUCCACAAUGGGCGAAAGCCUGAUGGAGCAACGCCGCGUGCAGGACGAAGGCCUUCGGGUUGUAAACUGCUUUUAUCUGUGACGAUUAUGACGGUAGCAGAUGAAUAAGGAUCGGCUAACUCCGUGCCAGCAGCCGCGGUCAUACGGAGGAUCCAAGCGUUAUCCGGAAUUACUGGGCGUAAAGAGUUGCGUAGGUGGCAUGGUAAGUCUGUAGUGAAAUCCUGGGGCUCAACCCCUUACCCAUUAUGGAAACUGCCAAGCUAGAGGAUGAGAGAGGUUAUUGGAAUUCCUAGUGUAGGAGUGAAAUCCGUAGAUAUUAGGAGGAACACCGAUGGCGUAGGCAGAUAACUGGCUCAUUCCUGACACUAAGGCACGAAAGCGUGGGGAGCGAACGGGAUUAGAUACCCCCGUAGUCC